GCUCAUGAUCUCACGAUGUAUGGAAAAAUAAUCUUUGUAUUACUAUUGUCAG
Molecule: small RNA, 52 nt
Filed under: Pan troglodytes (chimpanzee)
Lineage: Eukaryota; Metazoa; Chordata; Mammalia; Primates; Hominidae
Description: retained intron
Source: RNAcentral